AGUUUUUACGAUUGUAUCUAUCUGACUGACGCACGUGCACAAAAGCAUGUGUCGUCGGUAAGAAGUAAGAAGUUCGUUUGCGCGCGAAGAGUGUUGCGUCUUUAAAUGCAUCAUUUAUCGUCAGCAAACGAACUCGAUGAUUUACCGAACACCAUCGAGAUCAACUUCGAUUAGUAUCGCAGCAAAUUUUGUUAAUAUGGUGCGUAGAAUAAAAUUUCAAAUAUUAUAGUAUGUUAAGUCACACGAUAGGAGAAAGAUGGAUUUUUCGAUAAUACCAUAAAUGUAGUUUAUUAAUAAAUCAAAUGUAAUUACGUGAAGCCAAUGUGAAGUAACCUGUGCAGUUGAUAAUCUUCGCCUGAAAAUAUGGAAAACGUUGGAAACCUAAAAAAAAGAGCGAGCUACUUAAAAGUAUACGGGUAGAUUUAUUUCUUUAUAUCAUCGAUCAACGAUCUCUUCAUGGAGAGCUUAUUUCUACCGUUAUAAGGAACAAUUCACGGACGAAUAUUACGCAAUUAUCAAAAUUAGAGUUUCCAGGUGUAAUCUACAGAGUGAAAUAAAAAAUUAAAAACCCAUUUCUGCGUCGGCAGCUUUCAAGGGUAGAAGAUGCAUAUUCUCGCGAUGCAAAUACGUGUUUGUCAAUUUGCUUGGAAUGCGAGGAAGGUGUCCGAGGUAUGUUCGUCGACUGUUGAACGCAUCGACGGAUAUAUCAGCUUACCAACAAUACGAUCUUUGUAAUAAAAACACGCUACAAUGCAGGAUGGCAAUUACGAGACAAAAGAAAACGAUAAAAAUCAAUCAGAGGUCACCGAUUCGAGAUCACAAAUACGCAAUAAGUAGCAGUUCGAAGGGUCUCGGUGUGGGCCGAAAAAACCGGUUUCAGGUAAUGAUGGACUACCUACUUGCAGCCCAGUCAGGCAGAUUAUAAUGAACUUUUUUGGUGUAAAUAACUAGCGAUGGGCUUAAGUACGUCGCGAGUAAGGUGGAACAUUGAUCGACUAGAUUCGAGCCUUCUAUAAGUAAAUAUUUGUCUGAUUCGGAUUUGUAACAUACGUAUUCCACUUGAUCCCAUCACUAUCAAUAACCUGGCCGCAGAUUUUUCAACCAAGUAAGUUCUUUCAGUGAACGUAGAAUCGGGGAUGCAACGUGAUAAACCUGUUGUGAAAAAAAUGCCACGGUAUUUCGCUGCAGAAUCUUCGUUCGUUUAUCGACCCUGUGACUAAGGAACUCGAAUCUAAAGCGACAAAAAAUUAAUUAUCCGAUGAAUUUGCAACUUUACACGCGCAUCCCAUAUACAUUCCUUUACCUUCGUUAUUGGAGUUAUAAUCUCUAUUAUAAUUUUAUUUACGGUAAUAAAUUCAAAUUGAAAUGCG
Bombus huntii is the source of this 1370-nucleotide long non-coding RNA. RefSeq lists it as uncharacterized. The record is from RefSeq and is a predicted model, not a curated record. The transcript has 3 exons. Lineage: Eukaryota; Metazoa; Arthropoda; Insecta; Hymenoptera; Apidae.